CCUAUCAACUUUCGAUGUUACUAUCUGCACCUACCAUGGUAUCCACGGGUAACGGGGAAUCAGGGUUCGAUUCCG
Pelobates cultripes (western spadefoot toad) is the source of this 75-nucleotide non-coding RNA. Lineage: Eukaryota; Metazoa; Chordata; Amphibia; Anura; Pelobatidae. The record is from the annotation of a GenBank genome assembly.